CGCCUGUUUAUCAAAAACAUCGCCUCUUGCAAAAUCAAUGAAUAAGAGGUCCCGCCUGCCCUGUGACUAUAAGUUUAACGGCCGCGGUAUUUUGACCGUGCGAAGGUAGCGCAAUCACUUGUCUUUUAAAUGGAGACCUGUAUGAAUGGCAUAACGAGGGCUUAGCUGUCUCCUCUUUCAAGUCAAUGAAAUUGAUCUCCCCGUGCAGAAGCGGGGAUACUUACAUAAGACGAGAAGACCCUAUGGAGCUUUAGACACCAAGACAGACCAUGUUAAACAUCCCAAGACAAAGGACCAAACCAAAUGGCCCCUGCCCUAAUGUCUUUGGUUGGGGCGACCGCGGGGAAACACAAAACCCCCACGUGGAACGAGAACACCUCCUCUCACAACCAAGAGCUCCCGCUCUAGUGAACAGAAAUUCUGACCAACUAGAUCCGGCAAAGCCGAUCAACGGACCGAGUUACCCUAGGGAUAACAGCGCAAUCCCCUUUUAGAGGCCAUAUCGACAAGGGGGUUUACGACCUCGAUGUUGGAUCAGGACAUCCUAAUGGUGCAGCCGCUAUUAAGGGUUCGUUUGUUCAACGAUUAAAGUCCUACGUGAUCUGAGUUCAGACCGG
RNAcentral lists this ribosomal RNA (617 nucleotides) under Lutjanus campechanus (northern red snapper). RNAcentral's name for it is "partial 16S ribosomal RNA". It matches the Rfam family "Bacterial large subunit ribosomal RNA", at positions 1797 to 2619 of the family's 2925-position model. The record is from RNAcentral. Lineage: Eukaryota; Metazoa; Chordata; Actinopteri; Lutjaniformes; Lutjanidae.